This 422-nucleotide ribosomal RNA is filed under the name uncultured Lachnospiraceae bacterium. Its description in RNAcentral is "bacterial SSU rRNA". It matches the Rfam family "Bacterial small subunit ribosomal RNA", at positions 355 to 794 of the family's 1533-position model. Lineage: Bacteria; Bacillati; Bacillota; Clostridia; Lachnospirales; Lachnospiraceae. The record is from RNAcentral.
UGGGGAAUAUUGCACAAUGGGGGAAACCCUGAUGCAGCGACGCCGCGUGAGCGAAGAAGUAUUUCGGUAUGUAAAGCUCUAUCAGCAGGGAAGAUAAUGACGGUACCUGAUUAAGAAGCCCCGGCUAACUACGUGCCAGCAGCCGCGGUAAUACGUAGGGGGCAAGCGUUAUCCGGAUUUACUGGGUGUAAAGGGAGCGUAGACGGCAAGGCAAGUCUGAUGUGAAAACCCAGGGCUUAACCCUGGGACUGCAUUGGAAACUGUCUGGCUCGAGUGCCGGAGAGGUAAGCGGAAUUCCUAGUGUAGCGGUGAAAUGCGUAGAUAUUAGGAAGAACACCAGUGGCGAAGGCGGCUUACUGGACGGUAACUGACGUUGAGGCUCGAAAGCGUGGGGAGCAAACAGGAUUAGAUACCCUGGUAGU